RNAcentral lists this unclassified non-coding RNA (188 nucleotides) under Homo sapiens (human). Its description in RNAcentral is "PHD finger protein 1 (ENSG00000239756.5)". The record is from RNAcentral. Lineage: Eukaryota; Metazoa; Chordata; Mammalia; Primates; Hominidae.
GCUGCCGCUGCUUUGGCUGCUGCGUCAUACGCCCCAGAGCCGCCGGGACGGAGGGGCUGGGCCUGGGGACCCCCCGGCCUCCGCCUGCACGCCCCCCCACGCCCGGACGUGCCCUCUCCGCGCGGGGGACUCGCCUAGGUCUCCUACGUCUGCCCCUGCCCGGCUCCCGGCGGCCCCAGCUGUCACCG